RNAcentral lists this ribosomal RNA (372 nucleotides) under uncultured organism. RNAcentral describes it as "bacterial SSU rRNA". It matches the Rfam family "Bacterial small subunit ribosomal RNA", at positions 526 to 896 of the family's 1533-position model. The record is from RNAcentral.
CGAAGGGUGCAAGCGUUAAUCGGAAUUACUGGGCGUAAAGCGUGCGUAGGUGGUUUCUUAAGUCUGCUGUGAAAGCCCUGGGCUCAACCUGGGAAUGGCGGUGGAUACUGAGGGGCUAGAGUGCGGUAGAGGAGGGUGGAAUUCCCGGUGUAGCGGUGAAAUGCGUAGAGAUCGGGAGGAACAUCAGUGGCGAAGGCGGCCCUCUGGACCAGCACUGACGCUGAGGCACGAAAGCGUGGGGAGCAAACAGGAUUAGAUACCCUGGUAGUCCACGCCCUAAACGAUGCGGACUGGACGUUGGGCACAAUUCGGUGCUCAGUGUCGAAGCUAACGCGUUAAGUCCGCCGCCUGGGGAGUACGCUCGCAAGAGUG